RNAcentral lists this unclassified non-coding RNA (2132 nucleotides) under Megachile rotundata (alfalfa leafcutting bee). Its description in RNAcentral is "uncharacterized LOC100879505, transcript variant X3". The record is from RNAcentral. Lineage: Eukaryota; Metazoa; Arthropoda; Insecta; Hymenoptera; Megachilidae.
AGAAACGUUCUCGACGAAAAGUGUUUAAUUUAUAAGGGAUGAAAUUGCAGGCGAAAAAUUGAAGAAUGUAAAUAGUGGCAAGCUGAUAUAUUCGUGAAAGGCGCGUUGUCGCGUUACGUGUCAAAGAGUAAUCGAAAUUGUUGGUUGCAGCUUGUUUGUAGUGCAGGGUCAGCAGCGAUCCUCGCGCGACGCGGCUCGUCAUCGUCUGUUAGCGUACAAUUAAUUGGAGGGGGCGACUAGAUGAUUGGAGGGGUAGACUUUCCCGAGAGUAGAUCGCACGCUUUUAUAGUGAACUCGACUCUUGCUGACUCUGUUCCGUUCGGUCUAUCGUCUCGUGGGCAAGCGGAAGAUCGUAAACGUUAAACGGCGCGUGUUCGGGUUGCACGCGAACUGAUAACUCGCGUUUCGAGUAGAAUCGCGGGCCGUUCGGCGGGAAAUGAGGUGUACAGUUCGAAACGAUCGGAGACGGUAGUUGGACCCAGCCUCGAGGAUCGACGCAGGAAACCAGUAUGACGUUCUUACGAACAAUUCUGGUGACGUUGGUGAUAACGGUGUUGGCAGUGGCUUCGUCGCAAGACUACAGUCAACUCUUCGCAGGAUUCGGACCGUAUCUAGGCGAAACUUCGGCGAUGAGAGAUCCAAGAUCGAACAGAGGUCCAGUGUUAUUUCCACCGGGGCCGCCACCGAACUCCGCGGACACGAGCGGAGUGAUUGUGGGCGCGAGCGGAUACGGAUUCGUGCCACCCAACCCAGGUAAAUCGUCGAUCGGAUUCUGAGCCGAAACGCUUCUCUCAGACAAGAUACGCAACAAAGUCAACGAGUUUGCUCUUAACACCAAAGACGAAGAUUAACUUUCGGGGUGACACUAACCCCUAGCACUUAUCGCUGUUACAUGUGCACCUAACUUGUGAAUAAAACGCUAUUUAUUUGUUACCCAGCCACCCUUUUCCUCCAACAAAUACUCGAAUAUCGUUCUUUUAUACAUUUAUUUCGCGUUAAUCGAAAUAUAUAGAAUAGAAAGCUAUCUGUUUAUUUUUCACCGACGGUCAUUGUUCUCGGCAACGUUCGCGAACGGUUCUCUUCGCCCUUUGCUACUAACUUGUCAUGCGCUAACGAAACGCUAAUUCACGCUAACUCGUCCAUCGCGGGCGGGCGUUUGCCAGUCAAAGUGCGAUUAACGCUUUACGAAUAAGACGGAAAAGCGUAGGUAAGCGAUUGGUUGCAAUAACUCUAUCGAUACAGCGCAUCUUUACAGCGACUGCGACAACUUGUAAUUCAAAAUUACAACGUGCGAAUAUAACGAACGAAAGUUUAUCGCCGAUAAUAGCAGUAGUACGAAACAAUAAAUAGAAAUACCGAGUCGCUCCAUCCCCUGACAUUAAUCAUAGGUUCUCCUACAAACGGAAGAACCGAAGCUUCCGCUUCUGGGUUACGUUCGAUGCGGAAACGAAUAGAGAGAAACAGAAGAUAAGGAAGAGAAAGAGCAGCGGGCGAGAGAGAAAGAGAGAGAGAGAGCUAUACCGGUUUCCUCGAGGAAGAUUCAACCUUGGAAUCCGCUUAUAAGAACGAAACAAACAGACGGGGGUCAGUGAAAGUGAUUUCAUUGGCCUCGUGACUUAAACUCGUUUACGCGUAACCUAACUUGAGCUACUUCGCGAGGCGUAAUAGGUGUUACGAGGUCGUUCGGGUCCAUGGCAAGGUCGUUUCUUUCGGCGAAACGAUGAAAAUCCGAUCUCUGACCGAAGACCAACGUUACGCGCGUCCACGGUCAAGUUCGUCGUUUUAAAAAGUUUCUUUUCUUCGGUCGAUCUGAACGAGGGCAUUGCGCUUUCUACAGGUACUUUUACUACAAGUAGUGGAUAACGUUGGAUAGAAGAGCAUCCGAUCGCGGCGUACAUCACCGUGACGAGGAAACGAGGUAUUCUCGAAAGGAUUUGGUCAAAAUGUUGGUGCGAAAGUUGGAAGAAAAUUCUACGGUGGACCGAUUUAGGAAAGAAGAACUUUGCGCUCGUAACGGAACGUGUCGACAACGAUACAUCUCGAUACACGUGGAAAAAUAUCCAACCAUUAUAAUAUAUGCGUUGUUAAUGUUUAAAAAUGUUUUCAUAAAUGGCGGUGCAAGCCGAAACGUU